UACGUAGGGUGCGAGCGUUGUCCGGAAUUAUUGGGCGUAAAGGGCUCGUAGGCGGUUUGUCGCGUCGGGAGUGAAAACUCAGGGCUUAACCCUGAGCCUGCUUCCGAUACGGGCAGACUAGAGGUAUGCAGGGGAGAACGGAAUUCCUGGUGUAGCGGUGAAAUGCGCAGAUAUCAGGAGGAACACCGGUGGCGAAGGCGGUUCUCUGGGCAUUACCUGACGCUGAGGCGCGAAAGCGUGGGGAGCAAACAGG
RNAcentral lists this ribosomal RNA (253 nucleotides) under uncultured bacterium. Its description in RNAcentral is "partial 16S ribosomal RNA". It matches the Rfam family "Bacterial small subunit ribosomal RNA", at positions 524 to 776 of the family's 1533-position model. The record is from RNAcentral.